RNAcentral lists this ribosomal RNA (464 nucleotides) under uncultured bacterium. RNAcentral's name for it is "bacterial SSU rRNA". It matches the Rfam family "Bacterial small subunit ribosomal RNA", at positions 28 to 510 of the family's 1533-position model. The record is from RNAcentral.
GACGAACGCUGGCGGCGUGCUUAACACAUGCAAGUCGAACGAGGUCCAACCUUCGGGUGAAGACCUAGUGGCGAACGGGUGCGUAACACGUGAGGAACUUGUCCCGGUCUCUGGGAUAACAGUUGGAAACGACUGCUAAUACCGGAUGACGUCGGAGCGUCGCAUGGCGCGCUGACGAAAGGGUUACUGGAUCGGGAGAGCCUCGCGGCCUAUCAGCUUGUUGGUGGGGUAACGGCCACCAAGGCAUCGACGGGUAGCUGGUCUGAGAGGAUGAUCAGCCACACUGGGACUGAGACACGGCCCAGACUCCUACGGGAGGCAGCAGUGGGGAAUCUUGCGCAAUGGGCGAAAGCCUGACGCAGCAACGCCGCGUGCGGGAAGAAGGCUCUCGGGUUGUAAACCGCUUUCAGAAGGAACGAAACUGACGGUACUUUCAGAAGAAGGUGCGGCCGAACUACGUGCCA